CAGUUGGAAACGACUGCUAAUACCGCAUAAGCCCACGGGUCGGCAUCGACCAGAGGGAAAAGGAGCAAUCCGCUUUGAGAUGGCCUCGCGUCCGAUUAGCUAGUUGGUGAGGUAAUGGCCCACCAAGGCAACGAUCGGUAGCCGGACUGAGAGGUUGAACGGCCACAUUGGGACUGAGACACGGCCCAGACUCCUACGGGAGGCAGCAUG
This 210-nucleotide ribosomal RNA is filed under the name uncultured bacterium. Its description in RNAcentral is "partial 16S ribosomal RNA". It matches the Rfam family "Bacterial small subunit ribosomal RNA", at positions 147 to 353 of the family's 1533-position model. The record is from RNAcentral.